This is a transfer RNA of Camelus ferus (Wild Bactrian camel), 72 nucleotides long. It matches the Rfam family "tRNA". Rfam says of the family: Transfer RNA (tRNA) molecules are approximately 80 nucleotides in length. NCBI's taxonomy places the organism in Eukaryota, Metazoa, Chordata, Mammalia, Artiodactyla, Camelidae. The record is from Rfam.
GAGGGGAUAGCUCAGUGGGGGAGUGCAUGCUUAGCAUGCAUGAGGUCCUGGGUUCAACCCCCAGUACCUCCA